RNAcentral lists this ribosomal RNA (441 nucleotides) under uncultured bacterium. RNAcentral describes it as "partial 16S ribosomal RNA". It matches the Rfam family "Bacterial small subunit ribosomal RNA", at positions 338 to 795 of the family's 1533-position model. The record is from RNAcentral.
CCUACGGGUGGCAGCAGUGGGGGAUAUUGCACAAUGGGCGCAAGCCUGAUCCAGCUACGCCGCGUGUGUGAAGGAGUGCUUCGGCAUGUAAAGCCCUAUCGGCAGGGAAGAAGCAAGACGGUACCUGACUGAGAAUCCCCGGCUAACUACGUGCCAGCAGCCGCGGUAAUACGUAGGGGGCGAGCGUUAUCCGGAUUCACUGGGUGUAAAGGGAGCGCAGACGGCCAUGCAAGCCAGGGGUGAAAGCCCGGGGCCUAACCCCGGGACUGCCCUUGGAACUGCAUGGGUGGAGUGCGGGAGGGGCAGGCGGAAUUCCUGGUGUAGCGGUGAAAUGCGUAGAUAUGAGGAGGAACACCGGCGGCGAAGGCGGCCUGCUGGACCGCGACUGACGUUGAGGCUCGAAAGCGUGGGGAGCGAACAGGAUUAGAUACCCUAGUAGUC